CCACCAAACCGACGAUGGAUAGGGGUUCUGAGAGGAAGGUCCCCCACAUUGGUACUGAGACACGGACCAAACUCCUACGGGAGGCAGCAGUGAGGAAUAUUGGUCAAUGGCCGAGAGGCUGAACCAGCCAAGUCGCGUGAAGGAAGAAGGAUCUAUGGUUUGUAAACUUCUUUUAUAGGGGAAUAAAGUGGAGGACGUGUCCUUUUUUGUAUGUACCCUAUGAAUAAGCAUCGGCUAACUCCGUGCCAGCAGCCGCGGUAAUACGGAGGAUGCGAGCGUUAUCCGGAUUUAUUGGGUUUAAAGGGUGCGUAGGUGGUGAUUUAAGUCAGCGGUGAAAGUUUGUGGCUCAACCAUAAAAUUGCCGUUGAAACUGGGUUACUUGAGUGUGUUUGAGGUAGGCGGAAUGCGUGGUGUAGCGGUGAAAUGCAUAGAUAUCACGCAGAACUCCGAUUGCGAAGGCAGCUUACUAAACCAUAACUGACACUGAAGCACGAAAGCGUGGGGAUCAAACAGGAUUAGAUACCCUGGUAGUCCACGCAGUAAACGAUGAUUACUAGGAGUUUGCGAUACAAUGUAAGCUCUACAGCGAAAGCGUUAAGUUAUCCACCUGGGG
Molecule: ribosomal RNA, 613 nt
Filed under: uncultured bacterium
Lineage: Bacteria
Description: bacterial SSU rRNA
Rfam family: Bacterial small subunit ribosomal RNA
Source: RNAcentral